Melospiza melodia melodia is the source of this 281-nucleotide long non-coding RNA. RefSeq lists it as uncharacterized. The record is from RefSeq and is a predicted model, not a curated record. NCBI's taxonomy places the organism in Eukaryota, Metazoa, Chordata, Aves, Passeriformes, Passerellidae. The transcript has 3 exons.
GGAAGACUUUUCCUGCCCCUUUGCUGAUUCCUACAGAGAAGCCUGGCUCCCAUCGCUGGGCACAUGGAAGGAACAAACCAGGUGUGAAGACUGGACAAGGGAAAUGAGCCCACAUCACUUCCUUGGGAAGAGAAGAGAAGAUCCGGCAACUUCCAGAGGGGAGCAGAAACAGAAAAAAAUGUUUGAGAAGCUGAAGUAGUGGCAGAGGUACCAGGGAGAAGAAGUAAGAGGGCUGCAGCAGGAGUGGAAGCACCCGGGCAAAUGACUCAUCUGCCUCAGGC